UUUGACAUCUUCGGAGAAAGGAUUCGGGGAGGUGCCAGAGAAUAGUCCCAAGUAAACUUUGCAGAGGACGGCCAGCAGCAGCACAGCCAGGAGCAGCACCAGCGGAAGCCACAUCACGCCGGCGUCGGGUCGGGUAAAUGGGACAGCUCCGACUGCGCUCAGCCUCUAGGACUGUGGCUCCGCCCGGGCUCUCCAGUCAGGAGGCGGAGGCAGCUUUGAGCACUGAUUAACCAGCCAGCCAGCGAAGAGCCAACUCUCAGGUGAUGAUUGACCCUCCCGGCUCUCCGCACUUCUUUUGGGUUUCCAUUGCCUACUGGGAAAUGUAGUUCUCGGGGCCAGGGGAGCCGACACGCAAGCGGCUGUGCGCAUGAGCAGAUGAGGCCUAGCCGAGGCGGCGGGACCCCCAAGUUUGGAAAGCUCUGUUAACGGCUAUGCGAAAGUUCUGUCCAAAGGCUGCUCACAGCCCCUGUCUGACUGGGUGUCAUGAUGAAUUGAGCUCCCUGUUACCUGCGCAUCACAACCGAGCUGAGGCUUCGAAGACCUCAGAGGACUUCUCUCAGCACUCACAGAAACCUCCUACAC
This 582-nucleotide small RNA is filed under the name Pan troglodytes (chimpanzee). Its description in RNAcentral is "processed transcript". Lineage: Eukaryota; Metazoa; Chordata; Mammalia; Primates; Hominidae. The record is from RNAcentral.